GUUGUAGUUCCGCGCUGCGGCAUGGGGGACAUGGCGGAGGGCAGGUGGGAGGGAGGGAGGGCCGAGCGCCGCGGCGCCUGGGUUCGUUCCCAGCGAAGAAACCCGAUACAGCUUAUCCCGAGGGCCCUCGAGAAGCCGUGGCUAACGGUGCCUGUGGGCCGCGAGGUGCUGUGGGUGCGCAGCAGCGAGCAACACUGGUGAAUGUGACCUUUGAAGAUGUGGGAUUGUCAAGACUCGUCAUAGAUGGAGAGCUCCGUCUGAUUCGACCUCUGUGCAGGAAGGAAUCAAAUCCACAUAUUAUCAGAGUGCAGGACAGAAAGGAAUGAAAGCGUAACUAGCCCAGGCUUAAAACCAUCACACUUGCUCAGAGGAAAAUGCCCAUGCAGCAAGAAGGAGUGCAGAAGAAAUCCUGUUUCAGCUGCGUAUCUUCCCUGACCGAGCUGGUGUUUGCAUAUCACACUGCAGAGAUAGAGGGUACUUUAACUUAUUCAUGUGAGAUAACUGGCUAAUACUGCACGGGUUUGAGCUCCGGUUAUCUUGCAAUAAACCAACUCAAAUGUGCAGAAAUAGCCUGUCUGACCCUGUGUUGUCAACAUAUGCCACAUUUCCAGCCUCAGCCUUUUCUCCUCCCACCAAGGGAAGCUUUCAUGGAUGCUGGGGCUGUUCAAGGGGAAGCAGAACUGCUUUGCCUCUAUUUCUAAGGGCCAAAUUCUGCCCUUGGGUGCAGCUGCAUGUUCCAACCAACACCAAACUGAGGGCAUAGUCCCGGCACAGCUCUUUUGGCUUCUAUAGGCUGGCACAAUGUUCAUCUCCCAGUUAGGCAUUUGGAGAAAACAUUUAAGCUUCCGAAAUCAAUGAAAUUACCAGGUACUUGGCCUAUACAUGAGAAUUAGGAGAUGAAGUAUUUUGUUGGAUUUAGACCUUUACCACUUGAGAUAAACAAGAAACUUCAUUAGGUGCAGUAGUGAGCUGCUUCUCUUCCUUUCUGCUGACCACGUGAGAACCUGAUUCUACAGUACUGUGAGUUGGAGCAAGACUUGGGAGAAAAUUUACCUCUUCUGAGAUGGGAGGGUGGACAACUUCUUUGAUAUUUGCCAGUGCAAACAACACAGCAUCAUGGAUGGUCAAGAAG
Dromaius novaehollandiae (emu) is the source of this 1132-nucleotide long non-coding RNA. RefSeq lists it as uncharacterized. The transcript is spliced from 3 exons. Lineage: Eukaryota; Metazoa; Chordata; Aves; Casuariiformes; Dromaiidae. The record is from RefSeq and is a predicted model, not a curated record.